CCUACGGGUGGCAGCAGUGGGGAAUAUUGCACAAUGGGGGAAACCCUGAUGCAGCAACGCCGCGUGGGUGAAGGAGCGUUUCGGCGCGUAAAGCCCUGUCAGCGGGGAAGAAGGAAGAUGGUACCCGACCAAGAAGCCCCGGCUAACUACGUGCCAGCAGCCGCGGUAAUACGGAGGGGGCGAGCGUGAUCCGGAAUUACUGGGUGUAAGGGGAGCGUAGACGGCGAGGUAAGCCUGAGGUGGAAGCCCGCGGCCCAACCGCGGAACUGCUUUGUGGACUGUGUUGCUGGAGUGUCGGAGAGGGAGGCGGAAUUCCAAGUGUAGCGGUGAAAUGCGUAGAUAUUAGGAGGAACAGCAGUGGCGAAGGCGGCCAGCUGGACGAUGACUGACGCUGAGGCUCGAAAGCGUGGGGAGCAAACAGGAUUAGAUACCCUGGUAGUC
Molecule: ribosomal RNA, 441 nt
Filed under: uncultured bacterium
Lineage: Bacteria
Description: partial 16S ribosomal RNA
Rfam family: Bacterial small subunit ribosomal RNA
Source: RNAcentral